AUACGGAGGGUGCAAGCGUUAAUCGGAAUUACUGGGCGUAAAGCGUACGUAGGCGGUUCGUUAAGUUAGAUGUGAAAGCCCCGGGCUUAACCUGGGAACUGCAUUUAAAACUGGCGGACUCGAGUUGAGUAGAGGGGAGUGGAAUUUCAGGUGUAGCGGUGAAAUGCGUAGAGAUCUGAAGGAACACCAGUGGCGAAGGCGACUCCCUGGACUCGAACUGACGCUGAGGUACGAAAGCGUGGGUAGCAAACGGGAUUAGAAACCCCAGUAGUCC
RNAcentral lists this ribosomal RNA (274 nucleotides) under uncultured bacterium. RNAcentral's name for it is "partial 16S ribosomal RNA". It matches the Rfam family "Bacterial small subunit ribosomal RNA", at positions 523 to 796 of the family's 1533-position model. The record is from RNAcentral.